GGUUAAAAAGCUCGUAGUUGGAUUUCUGUUGAGGAUGACCGGUCCGCUCUUUGAGCGCGUAUCUGGUUCAGCCUUGGCAUCCUCUUGGGGAACGCUACUGUGCUUGAUUGCAUGGGGCGGUAUUCAAGACUUUUACUUUGAGGAAAUUAGAGUGUUCACUGCAAGCGUUAGCAAUUGAAUACAUUAGCAUGGAAUAAUAAUAUAGGACCUUGGUACUAUUUUGUUGGUUUCUAGAACUAAGGUAAUGAUUAAUAGGGACAAUUGGGGGCAUUCGUAUUAACGCGUCAGAGGUGGAAUUCUUGGAUUGCGUUACGACGAACUACUGCGAAAGCAUUUGCCAAGGAUGUUUUCAUUGAUCAAGAACGAAAGUAUGGGGAUCGAAGACGCUUAGAUACCGUCGUAGUCUAUACCAUAAACUAUGCCAACUAGAGAUUGGAGGUCGUUCUCUUUAUGACUCCUUCAGCACCUUAUGAGAAAUCAAAGUCUUUGGGUUCCGGGGGGAGUAUGGUCGCAAGGCUGAAACUUAAAGGAAUUGACGGAAGGGCACCACCAGGAGUGGAGCCUGCGGCUUAAUUUGACUCAACACGGGAAAACUUACCAGGUCCAGACAUAGUAAGGAUUGACAGAUUGAUAGCUCUUUCUGGAUUCUAUGGGUGGUGGUGCAU
Molecule: ribosomal RNA, 665 nt
Filed under: uncultured marine eukaryote
Lineage: Eukaryota
Description: SSU rRNA
Rfam family: Eukaryotic small subunit ribosomal RNA
Source: RNAcentral